AUACCAUUCGGGUAUGUGGAUUAAAAGGGAAUCGGGUGUAAAUCCCGGACAGUCCCGCUGCUGUGAAGCUCCGAAGAACAUCUUGAAACAACACUAUCGCCACUGGUUCUAGCGACCGGGAAGGCCUCAAGAUGGGAGUCAGUCAGAAGACCUGCCAUUCAUUAA
Molecule: non-coding RNA, 165 nt
Filed under: Parabacteroides distasonis
Lineage: Bacteria; Pseudomonadati; Bacteroidota; Bacteroidia; Bacteroidales; Tannerellaceae
Source: RNAcentral